Long non-coding RNA from Triticum urartu, 844 nucleotides. RefSeq lists it as uncharacterized. NCBI's taxonomy places the organism in Eukaryota, Viridiplantae, Streptophyta, Magnoliopsida, Poales, Poaceae. The record is from RefSeq and is a predicted model, not a curated record.
CCCGCCCGACCGGGCGCGCCGGCCCGUGCUGCCACGUCGCCAGCGAGAGGAUAAGGGCAGCCCCGACGCCUCGGGCUCCCUCCCCACUCGCCCACUCCACCCAGCUCUCCCUCUCCGCCUCCCCCUUGCUCUCCAGAUCGCCGCUCACCCUCCCUCCUCGCCGAGCGCCACCGUGGCCAUGGCCGCCGUGUAGCCGCGACCACCGCCUCCCCCAAGUAUCUCCGACCUACCCUGCAGCACUGCCGCGGUCCGCUGCUUCGACUGCGCCACCAAAUCGACCCCGGGAAGCCAUCCCUUCGACGCCACCGAUCUCCUCCACCUUCGGCCGUCGCACGCCGCAGCCAUAGCCAACAGCCUCCCCGAGCCGCGAGUUGAGGCCCUGGAGGACCACCAUCAUCGUCUGCAUCAUCUACGAGGACUCGUUCGACCAGAGCCGCACUGCCUCAUCGACAUUGGACCUUCUUCCUCCGCAGCAGCCACCGGUCGCGGUCGUCAAAUUCGCCAUCGUCACGUCGUCCCCGAGCCCGCUGCCCCCCUUACAAACAUAUAUGCUGCAACUAGAUGGUUGAGCCCAGGAGCCAGAUGGUACUGCCGACGACUACUACUACCCCGACGGAGACUACUACUACAUGGUGACCGGCGAUGACUAGGAGUAGUUGAGGAGGCUCCCGGGUAGGAGGCCUUGCCUUUUCGAUCGUUGAUACUUUUGUGCUAGCCUUCUUAGGGCAAACUUGUUGAACUCAUGUCUGCACUCAGAUAAUGUUGCUUCCGCUGACUCGUUUGUAUUCGAGCCCUCGAGGCCCCUGGCUUGUAAUAUAAAGCUUGUUUUAUUUUAAUUUUUUUC